This 1096-nucleotide long non-coding RNA is filed under the name Gadus morhua (Atlantic cod). Its description in RNAcentral is "lncRNA (ENSGMOG00000034080.1)". Lineage: Eukaryota; Metazoa; Chordata; Actinopteri; Gadiformes; Gadidae. The record is from RNAcentral.
GCCGCUUCUGCCCUAUGCAGCGUGUGUGUGCGUAAAAGAUACACCUCAGGGAAACUAUAAAACAAAAAGUCAUUUAUCAGAGUUAAAAUUAUUAAAGUGUUGCAGCAGCAGUAGUGGCAUUUGAAAGGUAAACCCACUAUUUCCGAAUCCAAAUUGACAACAUAGCAUGUAGGAUCCCUUCCCAGCAGAUGUAGCGCUAAUCCCCGUCAUCCUUGACCAAAGAGAUUUACCCUAUAUUUUAAUUGGUGUAGUCCUACUUGUACAGUUUAUCAAGAUUACGUUUUUACUUUAUGUAUAUAUUUUUAAUUAUUAUCCUCAUCUUUAUCAUCCCAUAUUUAUUCAAUUAUUCUUUCCUGUGUGAAAAUAAUAAUAAUCACUUAGUUAAUAGCAACACCUUCUUUAGUUUUUAUUUUGUUUUUUGUCUUCCUAGGACCACAGUAAUGAUAAUCUAAUGCAAUUGGACUAAAGAAGGUGUUGCUAUUAACUAAGUGAUUAUUAUUAUUUUCACACAGGAAAGAAUAAUUGAAUAAAUAUGGGAUGAUAAAGAUGAGGAUAAUAAUUAAAAAUAUAUACAUAAAGUAAAAACGUAAUCUUGAUAAACUGUACAAGUAGGACUACACCAAUUAAAAUAUAGGGUAAAUCUCUUUGGUCAAGGAUGACGGGGAUUAGCGCUACAUCUGCUGGGAAGGGAUCCUACAUGCUAUGUUGUCAAUUUGGAUUCGGAAGUAGUGGGUUUACCUUUCAAAUGCCACUACUGCUGCUGCAACACUUUAAUCAUUUUAACUCUGAUAAAUGACUUUUUGUUUUAUAGUUUCCCUGAGGUGUAUCUUUUACGCACACACACGCUGCAUAGGGCAGAAGCGGCUGAAGACUCUGUCUCCAUCCCUCCACCUUGCGAUCUAUACCACCAUAUAGGUGGGGAUUGAUCGUAUCCCAGGUACGGCAUCCUGCAGCGAGCCAGUAUGGAAGGCUGGUUAGCCAACGACGGGUAAGAUCCCACCUUGACACCCGGGACGACCUAAGGCAGGCACAGUCACGAUUACUUGGCAAAGUCGCUGUGGGCACUGGCUUACUUGAUCAUGAAGUCACAAGCUGC